GAAGAACUUGAAAAUCACUUGUACAGACUUGGUUUGGAGCAUUGCUUGCCAAACAGCUCCAAAACCUUCUUUCUCCAAGAGAUCUCUUCAGGCUGAACAGGAGGAAGGGUGAUAGACCUUGGGAAGUCUCUGGACACGCCAUGUUUGUAGUCUUCUUCCUCUUGAAGAGAUUGAACAGCUGGCUGGACAGAAACUCUCCAAUGAUUUGAAAUAACAAUGAGGGUGAGCCUAUGCUUGAAUUGUGGAAGCUUUGAGUUUCAGAUACUAAAGACCUCCUUUAUCUUGAGUUCUGGUGAGUCUCUUCCCUCCUGGAAAAGCUUUAGACCAGAGGAUACAAGGAUGAACAGAAACAGAGAUUUUUGAAGAGAAGUAUGAACUGUAACAGAUUUGCGGAAGCUCUAUGGAUUCUCAGGAGCUUGGAGCUCUGAUACCAUGUGAGAAUAGACAGAUUAUGGUGUGUGAGUGUUGUUUAGAACAGAGAGUGGUCGGAUUGAAAGAGAACAGAGUGAAGACAGUAAGUGAGAAUUAAAGAGACUGCAAUGGAGAAUAAGAGAGAUUAAGUGAGAUUUGAGAGAGUAUGAGAGAGAUUCUUGUAACCAGAGAUUAGGAGAGUAUAAGAGACUUGAGAAUGGUGAAGA
This 638-nucleotide long non-coding RNA is filed under the name Brassica rapa (field mustard). RNAcentral's name for it is "long non-coding RNA (BRAP_LNC008848)". Lineage: Eukaryota; Viridiplantae; Streptophyta; Magnoliopsida; Brassicales; Brassicaceae. The record is from RNAcentral.